GCGGUCGUAGCUCAGUUGGUAGAGCACUAGUUUGUGGUACUAGUGGUCGCGGGUUCAAGUCCCGUCGUCCGCCCCA
RNAcentral lists this transfer RNA (76 nucleotides) under Candidatus Falkowbacteria bacterium CG10_big_fil_rev_8_21_14_0_10_39_11. RNAcentral describes it as "tRNA-His". It matches the Rfam family "tRNA". From Rfam's summary of the family: Transfer RNA (tRNA) molecules are approximately 80 nucleotides in length. Their secondary structure includes four short double-helical elements and three loops (D, anti-codon, and T loops). The record is from RNAcentral. Lineage: Bacteria; Candidatus Falkowiibacteriota.